GGAGACGUCCUGUUUCGUAAACAAGACUUUGUUCUCCAAUCUUAAGAAAUUUGCAACGGAGCAUCAAGAAAUGUCUGCAGAUGUCAUAAAAAAAGCUUUCUUGAAAACGGAUGAGGAGUUCUUGUCACUUGUGAAGCAACAAUGGUUUGAGAAGCCACAACUUGCAUCUGUGGGAUCUUGUUGUUUGGCAGGCGUAAUCUGCAAUGGACUACUAUAUGUUGCCAAUGCCGGAGAUUCACG
This 240-nucleotide unclassified non-coding RNA is filed under the name Hevea brasiliensis (rubber tree). The record is from RNAcentral. Lineage: Eukaryota; Viridiplantae; Streptophyta; Magnoliopsida; Malpighiales; Euphorbiaceae.